This 433-nucleotide ribosomal RNA is filed under the name uncultured bacterium. RNAcentral's name for it is "partial 16S ribosomal RNA". It matches the Rfam family "Bacterial small subunit ribosomal RNA", at positions 29 to 507 of the family's 1533-position model. The record is from RNAcentral.
AACGAACGCUGGCGGCAGGCCUAACACAUGCAAGUCGAGCGAGGACUUCGGUUCUAGCGGCGGACGGGUGAGUAACGCGUGGGAAUGUGCCCUUCUCUACGGAAUAGCCCUGGGAAACUGGGAGUAAUACCGUAUACGCCCCAUUGGGGAAAGAUUUAUCGGAGAAGGAUCAGCCCGCGUUGGAUUAGGUAGUUGGUGGGGUAAUGGCCUACCAAGCCGACGAUCCAUAGCUGGUUUGAGAGGAUGAUCAGCCACACUGGGACUGAGACACGGCCCAGACUCCUACGGGAGGCAGCAGUGGGGAAUCUUAGACAAUGGGGGCAACCCUGAUCUAGCCAUGCCGCGUGAGUGAUGAAGGCCUUAGGGUUGUAAAGCUCUUUCAGCUGGGAAGAUAAUGACGGUACCAGCAGAAGAAGCCCCGGCUAACUCCGUG